AUGAAAGAAGAGCCUAUUAGUGGGAAAAAGUUGGAGGAUGAAGGAAUUGAAAAAGAAAAUUGGGCAAUAUUAGAGAAAAUUAGGAAGACUGAAAGGCAAGACCAUUUAAAUGUGCUGCAGUGUCUGGGUCAGUGCAAGCUUCAGAUAGACUUAUGGAAGAGCUCAGGGACAUAUACAGAUCACAGAGUUAUAAGACAGGUAUAUAUUGGGUGAAGGAGCAUUAUGUAUGGAACCUCUCACAAAACAGGGCUGAAGCAGUGCCUACUCCAUAGAAUCAGUCAUCAUGCAAAUAAAUGCCACCUGAGUCAAAGGCAAAGCCAAAGUGCAGCUUGGAGCAAAGAAGGUACUUCUAUUAAGAAUUUUACAUAAACCGUAAGAUACAUUUUAUAUUACUUUGUGAGCCUACUUCCUGUCUUAAUUCUUUCUGAGAGAAUUCAUUUCAUUUUCAUUUGGUUUGUUUUCUCUUUGUUACAAAGAUGAUCUAUAGAAAAUAUAGAAGUAUAAGAAAAUUAAAGACACUGACUAAUAAUCACUUAAUGAUUUAGUAUCUGAUUGUUUAGUCUUUGUUAUAUUUACUAUAGAUAAACAUGUCUACAGUUGUAAAUUUAUUAUUGGUAUGUAUACCCUAGUAAAAGUUAUAUGUACUUUGAAGUUUUGCAAAAUUGUGUUCAUGUUAUAGAA
This 681-nucleotide long non-coding RNA is filed under the name Papio anubis (olive baboon). RNAcentral describes it as "lncRNA (ENSPANG00000047653.1)". The record is from RNAcentral. Lineage: Eukaryota; Metazoa; Chordata; Mammalia; Primates; Cercopithecidae.